UGCAUGAACCCAAGCGGGGCCACUUGA
Molecule: non-coding RNA, 27 nt
Filed under: Homo sapiens (human)
Lineage: Eukaryota; Metazoa; Chordata; Mammalia; Primates; Hominidae
Source: RNAcentral